AGACCCGAAACCCGGUGAUCUAGCCAUGGGCAGGUUGAAGGUUGGGUAACACUAACUGGAGGACCGAACCGACUAAUGUUGAAAAAUUAGCGGAUGACCUGUGGCUGGGGGUGAAAGGCCAAUCAAACCGGGAGAUAGCUGGUUCUCCCCGAAAGCUAUUUAGGUAGCGCCUCGUGAAUUCAUCUCCGGGGGUAGAGCACUGUUUCGGCUAGGGGGCCAUCCCGGCUUACCAACCCGAUGCAAACUGCGAAUACCGGAGAAUGUUAUCACGGGAGACACACGGCGGGUGCUAACGUCCGUCGUGAAGAGGGAAACAACCCAGACCGCCAGCUAAGGUCCCAAAGUCAUGGUUAAGUGGGAAACGAUGUGGGAAGGCCCAGACAGCCAGGAUGUUGGCUUAGAAGCAGCCAUCAUUUAAAGAAAGCGUAAUAGCUCACUGGUCGAGUCGGCCUGCGCGGAAGAUGUAACGGGGCUAAACCAUGCACCGAAGCUGCGGCAGCGACGCUGAUGCGUUGUUGGGUAGGGGAGCGUUCUGUAAGCCUGCGAAGGUGGCCUGUGAGGGUUGCUGGAGGUAUCAGAAGUGCGAAUGCUGACAUAAGUAACGAUAAAGCGGGUGAAAAGCCCGCUCGCCGGAAGACCAAGGGUUCCUGUCCAACGUUAAUCGGGGCAGGGUGAGUCGACCCCUAAGGCGAGGCCGAAAGGCGUAGUCGAUGGGAAACGGGUUAAUAUUCCCGUACUUGGUGUUACUGCGAAGGGGGGACGGAGAAGGCUAUGUUGGCCGGGCGACGGUUGUCCCGGUUUAAGCGUGUAGGUGUGUGUUCCAGGUAAAUCCGGUUCACUUUAACACUGAGGCGUGACGACGAGGCACUACGGUGCUGAAGCAACAAAUGCCCUGCUUCCAGGAAAAGCCUCUAAGCAUCAGGUAACACGAAAUCGUACCCCAAACCGACACAGGUGGUCAGGUAGAGAAUACCAAGGCGCUUGAGAGAACUCGGGUGAAGGAACUAGGCAAAAUGGUGCCGUAACUUCGGGAGAAGGCACGCUGACACGUAGG
This 1054-nucleotide ribosomal RNA is filed under the name Salmonella enterica. Its description in RNAcentral is "partial 23S ribosomal RNA". It matches the Rfam family "Bacterial large subunit ribosomal RNA", at positions 711 to 1762 of the family's 2925-position model. RNAcentral also lists the same sequence under 1 other name. Lineage: Bacteria; Pseudomonadati; Pseudomonadota; Gammaproteobacteria; Enterobacterales; Enterobacteriaceae. The record is from RNAcentral.